UGCAGAUGUUCGCAAGACUGUUGUGUUCUGUUUAGUUGACAUAUACAUCAUGCUGGGCAAAGCAUUUUUGCCAUACUUGGAAGGGCUAAACAGCACACAGUUGAGAUUGGUGACUAUUUAUGCAAAUAGAAUAUCGCAGGCUAGAACAGGGACUCCCAUAGAUGCUAACCGCAGUUAGCUGGUGUGCUAGCUUCUUUGAGGGGAUUUCCUUGUAGGUUUGUUUAUGAGAGAUUUUAAUGUUUUCAUGUGUCGUGUAUAUCGUGUGAAUGUGCAUUUUGAAAGUUGUAUUCUUUUAUUCAACUGUGUGUUCAUAUUUUUUCCUCCCGCAUGGGAGUUGGAGAGUGCGUG
This 348-nucleotide unclassified non-coding RNA is filed under the name Hevea brasiliensis (rubber tree). Lineage: Eukaryota; Viridiplantae; Streptophyta; Magnoliopsida; Malpighiales; Euphorbiaceae. The record is from RNAcentral.